Molecule: ribosomal RNA, 459 nt
Filed under: uncultured bacterium
Lineage: Bacteria
Description: partial 16S ribosomal RNA
Rfam family: Bacterial small subunit ribosomal RNA
Source: RNAcentral
CCUACGGGUGGCAGCAGUGAGGAAUAUUGGUCAAUGGGCGCGAGCCUGAACCAGCCAAGUCGCGUGAGGGAAGACGGUCCUAUGGAUUGUAAACCUCUUUUGUCGGGGAGCAAAAGACGCCACGCGUGGCGUUCCGAGAGUACCCGGAGGAAAAACAUCGGCACACUUCGUGCCAGCCGCCGCGGUAAUACGGGGGGUUCGGGCGUUAUCCGGAUGUCUUGGGUUUAAGGGGGGCGCAGGCGGCCUGUUAAGUCAGCGGUAAAAGCCCGGGGCUCAACCCCGGCGAGCCGUUGAAAAUGGGCGGCUGGAGUUGGAGAGAAGUAUGCGGAAUGCGCGGUGUAGCGGUGAAAUGCUUAGAUAUAGCGCAGAACCCCGAUUGCGAAGGCAGCGUACCGGCUCCACACUGACGCUGAGGCACGAAAGCGUGGGUAUCGAACAGGAUUAGAUACCCCUGUAGUC